AAAGACCACUAGGGGAGCCAUAUACUGGCUGAGACGAGAUCGACUCGGACCCUUGGAACCUGAUCUAGUUCGUACUAGCGUAGGAAAGUGGAGACCGAGCAGG
RNAcentral lists this non-coding RNA (103 nucleotides) under Paenibacillus bovis. RNAcentral describes it as "TPP sequence". It matches the Rfam family "TPP riboswitch aptamer (THI element)". Rfam says of the family: Vitamin B(1) in its active form thiamin pyrophosphate (TPP) is an essential coenzyme that is synthesised by coupling of pyrimidine and thiazole moieties in bacteria. Lineage: Bacteria; Bacillati; Bacillota; Bacilli; Caryophanales; Paenibacillaceae. The record is from Rfam by way of RNAcentral.